UGGGGAAUAUUGCACAAUGGGCGCAAGCCUGAUGCAGCCAUGCCGCGUGUAUGAAGAAGGCCUUCGGGUUGUAAAGUACUUUCAGUCGGGAGGAAGGUUUCAAGGUUAAUAACCUUGGCAAUUGACGUUACCGCCAGAAGAAGCACCGGCUAACUCCGUGCCAGCAGCCGCGGUAAUACGGAGGGUGCAAGCGUUAAUCGGAAUUACUGGGCGUAAAGCGCACGCAGGCGGUUGAUUGAGUCAGAUGUGAAAUCCCCGCGCUUAACCCGGGAAUUGCAUCUGAUACUGGUCAGCUAGAGUCUUGUAGAGGGGGGUAGAAUUCCAUGUGUAGCGGUGAAAUGCGUAGAGAUGUGGAGGAAUACCGGUGGCGAGGGCGGCCCCCUGGACAAAGACUGACGCUAAGGUGCGAAAGCGUGGGGAGCAAACAGG
Molecule: ribosomal RNA, 429 nt
Filed under: Chloroflexota bacterium
Lineage: Bacteria; Bacillati; Chloroflexota
Description: Chloroflexi bacterium partial 16S ribosomal RNA
Rfam family: Bacterial small subunit ribosomal RNA
Source: RNAcentral